This 450-nucleotide ribosomal RNA is filed under the name uncultured bacterium. RNAcentral describes it as "partial 16S ribosomal RNA". It matches the Rfam family "Bacterial small subunit ribosomal RNA", at positions 354 to 796 of the family's 1533-position model. The record is from RNAcentral.
GUGGGGAAUUUUGGACAAUGGGCGCAAGCCUGAUCCAGCAAUGCCGCGUGCAGGAAGAAGGCCUUCGGGUUGUAAACUGCUUUUGUACGGAACGAAACGGUCCGGGUUAAUACCCUGGGCUAAUGACGGUACCGUAAGAAUAAGCACCGGCUAACUACGUGCCAGCAGCCGCGGUAAUACGUAGGGUGCAAGCGUUAAUCGGAAUUACUGGGCGUAAAGCGUGCGCAGGCGGUUUUGUAAGACAGGCGUGAAAUCCCCGGGCUCAACCUGGGAACUGCAUUUGUGACUGCAUCGCUGGAGUGCGGCAGAGGGGGAUGGAAUUCCGCGUGUAGCAGUGAAAUGCGUAGAUAUGCGGAGGAACACCGAUGGCGAAGGCAAUCCCCUGGGCCUGCACUGACGCUCAUGCACGAAAGCGUGGGGAGCAAACAGGAUUAGAAACCCGUGUAGUCC